AUUGAACGCUGGCGGCAGGCUUUACACAUGCAAGUCGAACGAGUGGCGGACGGGUGAGUAAUGUAUGGGAACCUGCCCGGUGGCGGGGGAUAACUACUGGAAACGGUAGCUAAUACCGCAUACUAUCGGAUGUGCCAAGAUGGGAUUAGCUAGUUGGUGGGGUAACGGCUCACCAAGGCGACGAUCACUAGCUGGUCUGAGAGGAUGACCAGCCACACUGGUACUGAGACACGGGCCAGACUCCUACGGGAGGCAGCAGUGGGGAAGAUUGCACAAUGGGCGAAAGCCUGAUGCAGCCAUGCCGCGUGUAUGAAGAAGGCCUUCGGGUUGUAAAGUACUUUCAGCGGGGAAGCGUUACUCGCAGAAGAAGCACCGGCUAACUCCGUGCCAGCCGCCGCGGUAAUUC
RNAcentral lists this ribosomal RNA (406 nucleotides) under uncultured bacterium. Its description in RNAcentral is "partial 16S ribosomal RNA". It matches the Rfam family "Bacterial small subunit ribosomal RNA", at positions 30 to 526 of the family's 1533-position model. The record is from RNAcentral.